GGGGAUGGUAGAGGGUACUCUCCUACUGACUGACUGACUGUGUGAGGUAAGGGGAUGGUAGAGGGUACUCUCCUACUGACUGACUGUGUGAGGUAAGGGGAUGGUAGAGGGUACUCUCCUACUGACUGACUGUGUGAGGUAAGGGGAUGGUAGAGGGUACUCUCCUACUGACUGACUGUGUGAGGUAAGGGGAUGGUAGAGGGUACUCUCCUACUGACUGACUGUGUGAGGUAAGGGGAUGGUAGAGGGUACUCUCCUACUGACUGACUGACUGUGUGAGGUAAGGGGAUGGUAGAGGGUACUCUCCUACUGACUGACUGUGUGAGGUAAGGGGAUGGUAGAGGGUACUCUCCUACUGACUGACUGUGUGAGGUAAGGGGUUGGUA
Long non-coding RNA from Oncorhynchus masou masou (cherry salmon), 386 nucleotides. RefSeq lists it as uncharacterized. The record is from RefSeq and is a predicted model, not a curated record. NCBI's taxonomy places the organism in Eukaryota, Metazoa, Chordata, Actinopteri, Salmoniformes, Salmonidae. The transcript is spliced from 3 exons.